CAACCCUUGUCCUUAGUUACCAGCACGUUAUGGUGGCACUCUAAGGAGACUGACCGGUGACAACCGGAGGAAGGUGGGGAUGACGUCAAGUCAUCAUGGCCCUUACGGCCUGGGCUACACACGUGCUACAAUGGUCGGUACAAAGGGUUGCCAAGCCGCGAGGUGGAGCUAAUCCCAUAAAACCGAUCGUAGUCCGGAUCGCAGUCUGCAACUCGACUGCGUGAAGUCGGAAUCGCUAGUAAUCGUGAAUCAGAAUGUCACGGUGAAUACGUUCCCGGGCCUU
RNAcentral lists this ribosomal RNA (283 nucleotides) under uncultured Pseudomonas sp. RNAcentral's name for it is "partial 16S ribosomal RNA". It matches the Rfam family "Bacterial small subunit ribosomal RNA", at positions 1099 to 1382 of the family's 1533-position model. Lineage: Bacteria; Pseudomonadati; Pseudomonadota; Gammaproteobacteria; Pseudomonadales; Pseudomonadaceae. The record is from RNAcentral.